Bactrocera neohumeralis is the source of this 912-nucleotide long non-coding RNA. RefSeq lists it as uncharacterized. The record is from RefSeq and is a predicted model, not a curated record. The transcript is spliced from 3 exons. NCBI's taxonomy places the organism in Eukaryota, Metazoa, Arthropoda, Insecta, Diptera, Tephritidae.
AAUAUACAGCUAUCCACAAUAUAAUAGGAGUAAAAUUCAAUAUGAUAUUUUUUGCAACUUAUAUAGUUAGAUGCACAACGGCAAAGUUAGCUGUAUAUCUACAUGUGUAUAUUUUGAAACAUAAUUAUUAUUUAAGCGAGCAAAGUGUUAUAUUGACAAAAUCAAACAAGUGUCCACCAUAAAGAGACUGCUGCAGCAAAGUGCCACCCGAAAUUUGAAGAAUAUAUUUGACGAUUCAGUUGUCCUCAGCCACAAUUUGGACGGGACGCACGGCAAGAAAAGACUCAAAACCUACGAGAAACUAUAUGCUGCUCUUCUGGAUUCAGUUUCUCAACUCCCGAAGGUCGAAAAUGCAGAGGACAUCCUACGCAAGGCCAUCCGAAUGCGGAAAAAGCGCAUUUUUAAAACCAUAUCUGCAUCAAAAGCCACCACCCAUACUUAACCUUUUGUUUUCUUCCUUUUGUUCACUUCACACUUUCUUUGAUUUUAAACUUUAUUACUUUCUUUGAUUUUAAAUUUUAUUACUUUCUUAAAUUGACCCAUAAGUUGCCUUAAUAUUUUAUACAUACAUAUACAUAUAUCAGGCAUGUGCUGCAAAUCGUUUUCGCAUGAAAGUGUCACACAAACACGUAUUUGUCGUUUGUUUCGGUGGCAGUUUCAUGCGAAAACGAUUUGCAGCACAUGCCCGUAUGUGCAUUGAAUUCAACAAUAGCAAAAAUUGUUCUAUAUACAUAGAUAUGAAUUGACAUGAAGAACUGAGUUUUUAUAUUAUAUGUUAAUACAAUUUUUUUUUAUUAUAAAAGUAUGAAAGUUGAAAGAGAACUGAAUUUUUAUGUUAAUAUUCCAUAUUAUAAGUGUGUAUUUUGUUAAUUUUAUGUGUGUCCAUAUAUUUCAAAACAAAAAAUAUAUCGG